This is a long non-coding RNA of Sapajus apella (tufted capuchin), 492 nucleotides long. RefSeq lists it as uncharacterized. The transcript has 2 exons. The record is from RefSeq and is a predicted model, not a curated record. Lineage: Eukaryota; Metazoa; Chordata; Mammalia; Primates; Cebidae.
AAUGUGGGUGAAAGCCUCACUCUGAAGAAUCCUGGAAGAGUAGCAUACGAUGCAGGCGGGAUAAAGAUGUUUUGGGAGAAAAAAAUCGAGCAUCACGCAAGACACCUGCAGAACGAGGACAUGAGGGUUCGCAGGAGCGCCCUGAACAAGCUCCGAGCAGGAUGGGCUGAGCAGCUGGAGGGGAGGAACAAGAUGCUGCAGGGCCCGGGGAGGCACCCAGGCAAGGCCCCGGCAGCCGCUGAGGUUCAUACCAAGGACAAGGCAGCAGCCUGAGAACCGCGGAGCUCCAGACCCUGCGUAGCUUCUGGAGGCUCAUGGAGAAAGCACACCGCCCGUGGGGUCCAAGCAUCCGCGCCGGAGUUCACAGGAUCUUCAUCAUGGAAACGGCCCGCACUUCCCUGACCCUGUAAUAACCCACCUCAAGGCCACACUGUGGCAGAGACCCAGGGUUUUCCAGCACAUCACAGGUGCCCAGUAAAAGUUCAGUCAGUU